AAGAAAAAAAAAAUAAUUAUGACUGAAGGAAGAAAUUCUUCAGUUCUGCUCCCACACUGAGCGCCUGGAAAUCUAAGACAGCUGGCUUUCUGGGUGACAUCUCCAACCAGAUACCUGCUGAAACGAGACAUGCUCUUCUAGCAUAGAUCUAGUCUGCCUAGUGUAAAGAUUCAAUCUGGAAAGCAGGCUCUAAGGCACAUAAUUAAAAAGAAGUUGAAAAUUAUUUAAACAUGAGUCUUAGCAGGGGAAAGCUGCGAUCUGAAUGUGUGCUUUAGCACACUGCAAAUAUUUAGUGGCUGUAGAUACAUGAAAUGUAUCCAUUGGCCUGGCUUCCUCUUGGAGGUGGGUGCCUUGAUACGGUGUGUGAGCUGCACACUCAAUUGACAUAGGAGGACAUAAACCCUGCUUAGCUGCAAAAAAUGGGACAUCAUAAGUAGUGGGAUAGUCACCUGCCUUCUUGCAGUCAGCAUAUUUGGGUUCAUUAUCAGCUGGGUUUAUCAUGUCAGGUUUAAUGCUUUGAUGUCUGUGGCUGAGUGUGGUUGGCUUAACACACUGGCACAAUGUUAAUGUCUACCCACAUUACAACAUAUAGACAUGCUAUGUCAUUGUUCCUAUGCUGGGCAGAUGGUGGUCUCAACAGAAAAAUUAAUUUAAAACAAUGGAAUUUUCUGUUGUAGAUAAUAAGAAAUGGAAGUGUUAGAUUUUGGGUCACAGUGUACAAAAAACACGAUAGGAAAAACAGCAUGCAUUGUUCCUGCAGAUAAAACCAAAAUAAACAACAAAACAAAGGCCUGCAGAAGCCAAAGAAGCUGCUAGAGAAAAUGUGAAAUCCACUUAAAAGAGAAAAAAGGAGUAAGUCAGCACAGCACUAACAGUAUUCAAGUAAAAGGUUUGAAAAAUGUCUGCAAUGAAGAAGGAAGGUAUGAUUUAUGAGCAAAAAAUGGCUUGUAUUUGAGCAAAGAAGCCUGUUUAUCAAGACUGUAUGAAAUCCCAAGUCACUGGAAAAAAAAAAAACAACAACAACAAAGAAAUGCACACUGGCAGUGUCACGAGGAUGAAAACGGAAGUAGGAAAUUUAUGUAUUGUACUGUAUGGAACAAAAUAGUUAAAGGUUGACAUGUUAUUUUUUGGAACGAGAAAAAUGGAAUUAGUGACAAGUCCCUUUGAGAUCCUUUGGGAUGGAAGAUGGCACAUAGUGGCAGGAUGCACAGUAUUUGCUGUAUUAUUAUAAUCUUUCUAAUUGUUCUGAGAAAUAAAAUGUACUUUGCUUGCCA
Molecule: long non-coding RNA, 1274 nt
Organism: Pezoporus flaviventris
Lineage: Eukaryota; Metazoa; Chordata; Aves; Psittaciformes; Psittacidae
Exons: 3
Source: RefSeq, a predicted model, not a curated record